AGCUGGCAGGACACCAGACGGAUGCACACAAGCACACCACCCCCUGCUCCUUUUAGAAGGGGCCUCGUCUCCACGGCGACUGAAGACAAAAAAGGAGGCCCUGGCACAGCUGGUCUAUAGCAACAGAGAGAGAGAGACAGGAGGGGAAAAAACAGUGAAUAAGUGUUCAGAUGUACAGACAGCACAGAGGGUGAGGGGGAGUGAGAGACAGUGAAAGCAGCAGUGCCGAAGUCGAUUUGGGAAAAGGAAGAAGAGGGAGAGACAGAGAGGGAGGGUGAAAGAGGGGGAGGAGAGGGAAGACAUAUACAAACUCCCAGAGAACAGGAGGAGAAAGUGGAGCAAGGCUGCAAAAGGAACAGUUGCACAGAAACGGCUGCUGAUCUGCUCAAAGAGUCAAAUUACCUCCAGAGCUAGUGACUCAGGCUGAACUGGAACAGGCUAAUUAGAUGAAGAGCCUGAGAAGCAGCAGGCACCACAAACAAACUUGAGAAAAAAGGAGAAAGAGAAGGGGAAGGUGAAAACAAGAAGUCUGUGAAACAUCGUGGUGACAGUUUUAUGCACUGCUGAGUUUGGUUCUCGUUUCAAAGAAGAGUUCAGAGAUGGAAGCAGUGACGCUGUCACUGUGAAGCUGCACACAUUCACUGCAGAGUGAAACAAGUUCUGCAGUUACCCGUUUGCUUCGAAAGAAAAGCCUAAGCCAUUACUGCAUCUUGUCUUGCCUCACCUGCAUCUGAAAGUCAGCAUGGAUGCGAAAAACGAGAUAAUGGAUAUUCUUCAGAAGGUGUGGACCAAACUGCAGGGUCUCCCACAAGCAACUUCACUGGAGCUGGGAGCCUUCUUUGUGCUCGUUCUGUUUGUUGCCAUGGUUAUCUUCAUGGUCGUGUUGUCUUGCAUCCACUGCUGUUGCUGUGGGAAGCCAAAGUACCAGGGCUCAAGAGUCCAGCCUUUACAGCCCGUCUGAGAAGAAGACAGAGAGAAGAAUCCACCAACAAAUACAGCCUUCACCUUUCUUUCUGCCCUCCAUGGAAUCACCCACGUGAUAAAGGGCAUUUACUCACACACAUUUCAAAUGAGCAAACGAUUUUCAGAGCCACUGAUUUCUUUAAAGGGCAUCAAAUGAGAUUAAUCGAGGGACGACAGAGAAGUCAUUGCCAUUUAUCCAGCUGCGGGUUAAAGACUGAAUCAGCAUCCAGAGAGCCACUGGAAUCCAUAUAAAUCAACAGACUGGCACGACUCAUCAAGAUUCAUCACAAAGGAGAACAAUGAAACACUGUGUGGCUGCAUUUCAUGGACACAAAGAUAUAAGAAGCUGAUUUGUGCUCAAACGUCACAGAGACACCAGUCUUACAAAUGUAGUAGUUUGGUAUGCUGUUGACAUUCAUUGAGAAUGUGAAGAACAGCAAUGAAAAUAUGCAUUCCAAUAAGUGAAUGUGUCAUGGACUUGAAGUUACAUGUUUUGAACAACAAAAAAGAGAGAGAAAGACAGAGCGCCCUCUGCUGGUUAAUUUGCAAGCAUUUGUUUUUGAAAGUUGCGCCAAUAGAAAAUGUGAUCUGUUGUCCCAGCAGUUACAACUGUAUAUUCUCUUUAUAUGAAUCAAACUGUCUGCUACGCUUAGUUGCUCUUAUUUGUAUAAAUGUAAUAAAUGUUCAAUGUAUUUACAAAAAAGAAAUAUAUGUUUCUGGUUGUUGGAUUCUCUGUAAAGAUACCAGAGGGUGUGUGAGCAUAUUAACAAUGGUAAAUACUGCUCAAUUUUAUUCCUAUAACAACAUUUUUAUCUAAAUCCCAUGAGCGAAACACUGAACAAGUGUGCAAGCCUUAUCAUUACACUUCUAUUUGCCUCCACCAGUAUUUUGAGUUUAAACAUUAACCAGGCACUGUUGCUUUCAUUUUGCCAACACGUAGCAAAUGUCAUUGUCACCUGGAAAGCAACAGGAACUGUUCAGAGUUUGGAUUUAUAGAAAGCCUCUUUUGUUCACAGAGCGACAGUAAACUGCAAUGUUUGGGCUUUUUAAAUAGUUCUGACGCUGUGUGUGGAUCAAAACAGUAGCUGAAGCUGGGCUCUGACACACAACUACAGUUUAUUCACCGUCUGUUAGAACUCACUGAGCCGUGAGAGGAUCAUUUAGCAGGACAUGGCGGUGGAGAGUUUAAUAGAGCAGCAAAAACCUGCAGGCUCACCAGAGGACUGGGUGGAGUGGUUCCUGUAUCGACUACAACGGGAGCCGUGGGCACUGGGUGGUUUUGUGGUCAUUGGAGUGUUCGCUCUGGGAACUCUGUCUCUGACAAUCUUCGCUCUCCUGUAUGGAUGCUGCUGCAGCCCUGGAGAAGGAAAACCAAACAAGAAGAGGCAGCAGAAGAAGUCAGAGGAUACAGUGAUCUAGAUGUGCGAAGAGAACAGACUCAUGCUGCAGAAUGAAUGUCAACUUCACGUGGAAUUGUGUAUUUUUUUCUUUUUUAGAUGUGGUGUAAAUCAAAAUUGAGAGUUUUCAGUUUUAUAGAUAUCAAUUUCUUCAAGAUAAUUUUACAUCAAAUCAAAAUGUUUUUUUUUCCCUAUAAUCUUUAUUUCUGUAUUUGGAGAACAUUAGGAUCAUAUCACCAAAAUCUAAUCGUUGUUUCAGUUUAGAAUGGUGCAGAUGUUACACACAAAAUUAAACCAGCACUGUUUUUCUAAGGUCAGCUGUAUAAAAACCUUUUUGUAAAAUUAA
Molecule: long non-coding RNA, 2706 nt
Organism: Acanthochromis polyacanthus (spiny chromis)
Lineage: Eukaryota; Metazoa; Chordata; Actinopteri; Pomacentridae
Exons: 4
Source: RefSeq, a predicted model, not a curated record